This 1610-nucleotide long non-coding RNA is filed under the name Gallus gallus (chicken). Its description in RNAcentral is "long non-coding RNA NONGGAT004187". The record is from RNAcentral. Lineage: Eukaryota; Metazoa; Chordata; Aves; Galliformes; Phasianidae.
UUCUUUUCAGAAGGGUGUGAGGAACAAGCAAUAUUAUUUUAAGCUGAAGCAACAUUUCAAGGUGCUCAGGAAGGAGAAACUUACUCACCCACGGCAGUUCCUUGGGAACAGGAGCCAGCAGGCACAACGGCAGGGCAGUUUUAUAAUGAGCUUUGUGUGUGGGGUGUGGAUUUGCAAGCACUGGCUACCAGUCCCCUUCUCCUUGCAGGGGGAUUAACUCAGUGGAUUACAGAUGCCCUCUGAAGAGGCUGGCCUAACUUAGAUGGUCGCACCACGGCAGGCUUCCUGAGCACGUGAGGGCUGAAGAAGGAGACAGCGAGCACAAGAGAGGAGCUGAGAGCCUUCCAAAUAACCACCAGCAAGGUUUUGGCUCUCACAGAGGCUCACAGUUCAAGAUCACUGUAUGCACUGAGUUCAUCCACGGUGGCAUUUCAUUGGGCUCAGCACAAAGCUGCACUCUGGGGGCCGUCAUCUUUGGAAAAGCGACUUCUCAGCUGAGACAGAAAGCACGAUGGCUUGCCCAUGGUCCAACACAAUCCUUGGGCAGUGCCUGGACUGCAGCAUCAAGCUCCACGCCCUAACCAGUUUCUCCUGCCUCUGUUACUGCUUUUGUAGCGUAGGCUCUCCCGUCUCCUCCCCAGUCGAGGCUAUGGUUUUGUGGUCAUUCUCACCUCUUCUUUGUCCCACCCAACAUACCAGGAUCUGCAAGCUCCCAGCUCUUUCCAGUUCUGUUCAGAUAUUCAAACCUUCACUGUAAGGCAAGAACUGUUCCACUGUGGUGUUACAAUGCCACCUCCAAGCAAGGGAGGUACCCCAGCCAAGGAAAACUCCAUUCUGCUCAGCUUGUCAUUAUUUUUGCAGUUCUCAAUCAUCCUGACACCGUGCUGCAGUGAGACACUUUGUGUCUCCCACCUCACACGUUUGCCAAGCAAGCUGUGACCCGGCCAUAGCAAAAAGGAAGAGCAGCCGUGCUCACCUGUUGCACUCACACAGCUUCUGCUCUGGCACCUGGCACGCUCUGCCCGGCAAGUGUGCGUGAAGAAUGAGGCUGUUUGCUUUCAGUGGUUGUUUAUUCCUCUUCCCUGACACUCUGGCAGAACCCCACGUGUACUGCUCUUUGUGUCUGUCAAUGCUCUGUGCAGCCAAGUGUCUCACUUCGUCUCUAUCUGUCACCCACCAAAGCAGGCGCAAUACAGAAGCACUAAUAAGGUCUAUCCUAAGAGAACAUCUCCAUUCACAUCAGCAGAAGCUGUUAGCAAAGCACGAGUGUGUCAGCCGUGGUAGAAGAGGUCACGCUUGGCUCCCGGUGCAUAGCUGCACGCACGCAGUCACGAAGCAGUUGCACACUAGCUGACUCUUUUCUCAGCUUCUGGAGGACUGGCAUCUUUGCAUCGCCGGGACAGCCCUGCAUCUCCCCCCAGGCUAAGCCAUUAGUGUGUGGGCAAACUCAGGCCGCAGCCAUUGCGGGAUGGGCAGGGCUGCUGUGCUCCCCCUGUUCCCUGCAGCCAGGGAGGGGGCUUUUUUGCUCUGAAAAUGGACAGCUUAAAGGAAGAGCACUUCUGCACCUGUCAGUCAUAGAAUCAGAAUGGCUUAGGUUGAAAGGAAUCUCG